This 868-nucleotide ribosomal RNA is filed under the name Micrococcus sp. CNJ741 PL04. RNAcentral describes it as "bacterial SSU rRNA". It matches the Rfam family "Bacterial small subunit ribosomal RNA", at positions 8 to 887 of the family's 1533-position model. The record is from RNAcentral. Lineage: Bacteria; Bacillati; Actinomycetota; Actinomycetes; Micrococcales; Micrococcaceae.
AGAGUUUGAUCCUGGCUCAGGAUGAACGCUGGCGGCGUGCUUAACACAUGCAAGUCGAACGAUGAAGCCCAGCUUGCUGGGUGGAUUAGUGGCGAACGGGUGAGUAACACGUGAGUAACCUGCCCUUGACUCUGGGAUAAGCCUGGGAAACUGGGUCUAAUACCGGAUAGGAACGUCCACCGCAUGGUGGGUGUUGGAAAGAUUUAUCGGUCAUGGAUGGACUCGCGGCCUAUCAGCUUGUUGGUGAGGUAAUGGCUCACCAAGGCGACGACGGGUAGCCGGCCUGAGAGGGUGACCGGCCACACUGGGACUGAGACACGGCCCAGACUCCUACGGGAGGCAGCAGUGGGGAAUAUUGCACAAUGGGCGAAAGCCUGAUGCAGCGACGCCGCGUGAGGGAUGACGGCCUUCGGGUUGUAAACCUCUUUCAGUAGGGAAGAAGCGAAAGUGACGGUACCUGCAGAAGAAGCACCGGCUAACUACGUGCCAGCAGCCGCGGUAAUACGUAGGGUGCGAGCGUUAUCCGGAAUUAUUGGGCGUAAAGAGCUCGUAGGCGGUUUGUCGCGUCUGUCGUGAAAGUCCGGGGCUUAACCCCGGAUCUGCGGUGGGUACGGGCAGACUAGAGUGCAGUAGGGGAGACUGGAAUUCCUGGUGUAGCGGUGGAAUGCGCAGAUAUCAGGAGGAACACCGAUGGCGAAGGCAGGUCUCUGGGCUGUAACUGACGCUGAGGAGCGAAAGCAUGGGGAGCGAACAGGAUUAGAUACCCUGGUAGUCCAUGCCGUAAACGUUGGGCACUAGGUGUGGGGACCAUUCCACGGUUUCCGCGCCGCAGCUAACGCAUUAAGUGCCCCGCCUGGGGAGUACGGCC